RNAcentral lists this ribosomal RNA (253 nucleotides) under uncultured bacterium. RNAcentral describes it as "partial 16S ribosomal RNA". It matches the Rfam family "Bacterial small subunit ribosomal RNA", at positions 524 to 776 of the family's 1533-position model. The record is from RNAcentral.
UACGAAGGGGGCUAGCGUUGCUCGGAAUCACUGGGCGUAAAGCGCACGUAGGCGGCUUUUUAAGUCAGGGGUGAAAUCCUGGAGCUCAACUCCAGAACUGCCUUUGAUACUGGGAAGCUUGAGUCCGGGAGAGGUGAGUGGAACUCCGAGUGUAGAGGUGAAAUUCGUAGAUAUUCGGAAGAACACCAGUGGCGAAGACGGCUCACUGGCCCGGUACUGACGCUGAGGUGCGAAAGCGUGGGGAGCAAACAGG